This 550-nucleotide ribosomal RNA is filed under the name uncultured bacterium. RNAcentral describes it as "bacterial SSU rRNA". It matches the Rfam family "Bacterial small subunit ribosomal RNA", at positions 355 to 896 of the family's 1533-position model. The record is from RNAcentral.
UAGGGAAUCUUCCGCAAUGGGCGAAAGCCUGACGGAGCAACGCCGCGUGAGUGAUGAAGGUCUUCGGAUCGUAAAACUCUGUUAUUAGGGAAGAACAUAUGUGUAAGUAACUGUGCACAUCUUGACGGUACCUAAUCAGAAAGCCACGGCUAACUACGUGCCAGCAGCCGCGGUAAUACGUAGGUGGCAAGCGUUAUCCGGAAUUAUUGGGCGUAAAGCGCGCGUAGGCGGUUUUUUAAGUCUGAUGUGAAAGCCCACAGCUCAACCGUGGAGGGUCAUUGGAAACUGGAAAACUUGAGUGCAGAAGAGGAAAGUGGAAUUCCAUGUGUAGCGGUGAAAUGCGCAGAGAUAUGGAGGAACACCAGUGGCGAAGGCGACUUUCUGGUCUGUAACUGACGCUGAUGUGCGAAAGCGUGGGGAUCAAACAGGAUUAGAUACCCUGGUAGUCCACGCCGUAAACGAUGAGUGCUAAGUGUUAGGGGGUUUCCGCCCCUUAGUGCUGCAGCUAACGCAUUAAGCACUCCGCCUGGGGAGUACGACCGCAAGGUUG